This 497-nucleotide ribosomal RNA is filed under the name uncultured bacterium. RNAcentral describes it as "partial 16S ribosomal RNA". It matches the Rfam family "Bacterial small subunit ribosomal RNA", at positions 28 to 507 of the family's 1533-position model. The record is from RNAcentral.
GAUGAACGCUGGCGGCGUGCCUAAUACAUGCAAGUCGAGCGAACGGACGAGAAGCUUGCUUCUCUGAUGUUAGCGGCGGACGGGUGAGUAACACGUGGAUAACCUACCUAUAAGACUGGGAUAACUUCGGGAAACCGGAGCUAAUACCGGAUAAUAUUUUGAACCGCAUGGUUCAAAAGUGAAAGACGGUCUUUCUGUCACUUCUAGAUGGAUCCGCGCUGCAUUAGCUAGUUGGUAAGGUAACGGCUUACCAAGGCAACGAUGCAUAGCCGACCUGAGAGGGUGAUAGGCCACACUGGAACUGAGACACGGUCCAGACUCCUACGGGAGGCAGCAGUAGGGAAUCUUCCGCAAUGGGCGAAAGCCUGACGGAGCAACGCCGCGUGAGUGAUGAAGGUCUUCGGAUCGUAAAACUCUGUUAUUAGGGAAGAACAUAUGUGUAAGUAACUGUGCACAGCGUGACGGUACCUAAUCAGAAAGCCACGGCUAACUACGUG